UACAGGGGGUGCAAACGUUGCUCGGAAUUAUUGGGCGUAAAGCGCGCGUAGGCGGUCCAUCGCGUCGGGAGUGAAAAGCUGGGGCUUAACCCCAGUCCUGCUUCCGAUACGGGCAGACUAGAGGUAUGCAGGGGAGAACGGAAUUCCUGGUGUAGCGGUGAAAUGCGCAGAUAUCAGGAGGAACACCGGUGGCGAAGGCGGUUCUCUGGGCAUGUCCUGACGCUGAGGAGCGAAAGCGUGGGGAGCGAACAGG
This 253-nucleotide ribosomal RNA is filed under the name uncultured bacterium. RNAcentral's name for it is "partial 16S ribosomal RNA". It matches the Rfam family "Bacterial small subunit ribosomal RNA", at positions 524 to 776 of the family's 1533-position model. The record is from RNAcentral.